Molecule: ribosomal RNA, 301 nt
Filed under: uncultured bacterium
Lineage: Bacteria
Description: partial 16S ribosomal RNA
Rfam family: Bacterial small subunit ribosomal RNA
Source: RNAcentral
CAGUAGCCACGGGAAUACGUAGGGUGCGAGCGUUAAUCGGAAAUACUGGGCGUAAAGCGUGCGUAGGCGGUUCGUUAAGUCUGUUGUGAAAGCCCCGGGCUCAACCUGGGAAUGGCAAUGGAUACUGGCGAGCUAGAGUGUGUCAGAGGAUGGUGGAAUUCCCGGUGUAGCGGUGAAAUGCGUAGAGAUCGGGAGGAACAUCAGUGGCGAAGGCGGCCAUCUGGGACAACACUGACGCUGAGGCACGAAAGCGUGGGGAACAAACAGGAUUAGAUACCCCUGUAGUCCCUGUCUCUUAUAA